CAGUAUUAACUCACUGAAAGCAAAGAAAGUAAAUACAAGGAAGUCAUAUAUUCAUAGAAUACAUAUAGUUCCCAGGUAAAUAAUAUUUUCACAGUCAUAAUAAUAUAAACAGUAGAUACUGACCUUCUGCAAAUUGAUCAUAUAACUAUGUUGAGAGCAUGGGGGCAGGAAAGUGCUUGGUGGCAGGGAGCACCCACCUGAAGGGGUGGCAGGAAGAGGUGUGGGAAGGCCAACUCCUCAUCUUCAGUCACAAGUUAAUAGAGUGUCUAAAAUUGGAAAAUCUAGAAAUAAUAGCAUAAGCAUAUUAUUUAGAUAGAUGGGAGUGAACAACAGAAGUAGUUGCUAAAAAUUUGAAACUGUGGCUUCUAAGAGAUAGGAAAAGGGAGUUUAAGGCUUAAAGAAUUGCAUUUCUUAAUUUUAAACUAUGGACCUAUACAAUUUUGAUAAAAAUAAGGUUGCACAAAGGUUUACAGUAGGUUUACAAGUUUAGUUCUCCUAUUGCAGUAUUCUUGUCACCAAAUGCCUUCAAGAUCUAAGAAACUUCUAUCCACUAGCAACCAGCUACUUACUGACCAUUUAUAUCAGAGCACAGCCUUCUGCUGGUGAAUGGGUAACUAGCUAGCUUAGAGUAUUGUGAAUUCUGCAUUUGCUGCAAGAUCAGAAGCUUCAGGGAUUUCUUAAAAUGUUACCAUUCCCAAUGGAUAUUGCUCAUCGCGUGUGACAAAGAGAAGACAAGAUGUCAUGGGAGACAAGACAGCCCACAGUAGGCAGAUCUUUUUCUUCUAAAAAGCCGCCUUUUUGAUAUGCUCUUGUAAGCAACAAAAUGACUUAAGAAUGUUGUAAAUGUGGAAGGAACAAGAUAUAACACAGUCUAAUAAAUUAGCAUGGAUGGCUUCAAGAUCUACAUUCUGUUCUUCCAGAGCACACAGCAACAAUCAUGGGUUAAUUGCUCCAGGAAACUAAUAAGUAGAGCUGCUUCUGAGAGCAAAAUAGAAGACCACUGUAAUAUUUUCAAGCCUUCCCCUGGCUGUGUUCUGUCUUGCCAUACUUCCUUUGGGCUGCGUGGCUUUUAGCCUUUUGUUGUUGUUGUUCAGGAUGGAGUGAAAGCCAUUUGUUCCAUAUCAGAAAUUUAGAAAAUGUAUCCUUUUCUGAGCUCCCAGUUACUAAUGUAUUAAAUUC
Molecule: long non-coding RNA, 1179 nt
Filed under: Marmota monax (woodchuck)
Lineage: Eukaryota; Metazoa; Chordata; Mammalia; Rodentia; Sciuridae
Source: RNAcentral